CCUGUCUUCCCCGAAAAGGGGAAGCAGAAGGCCUCGAGCCCUCCGUCCGAUCACGAUUCUACCCCCGGAGGGUCCCAACCUCCAUUCUACCAGAAAACCCUCGAGACUCACAGUCGAGAGGACCUCCUAGAUCAAAGAUUCCAGGAGAUGAACCGACGGAUCGAAGAGCUCCACCAUGCUCCAACUGCUUACGGUGAGGACAUCUGCACUGACCCUCCUUUCUCUCAAAUGAUUAUGUAGGAACCAAUCCCAUCGAACUUCAAGCUCCCCCAAUUCGAGAGCUAUGACAGGACCUC
RNAcentral lists this long non-coding RNA (296 nucleotides) under Elaeis guineensis (African oil palm). Its description in RNAcentral is "long non-coding RNA (EGUI_LNC082270)". The record is from RNAcentral. Lineage: Eukaryota; Viridiplantae; Streptophyta; Magnoliopsida; Arecales; Arecaceae.